This 497-nucleotide ribosomal RNA is filed under the name uncultured bacterium. Its description in RNAcentral is "partial 16S ribosomal RNA". It matches the Rfam family "Bacterial small subunit ribosomal RNA", at positions 28 to 507 of the family's 1533-position model. The record is from RNAcentral.
GAUGAACGCUGGCGGCGUGCCUAAUACAUGCAAGUCGAGCGAACGGACGAGAAGCUUGCUUCUCUGAUGUUAGCGGCGGGCGGGUGAGUAACACGUGGAUAACCUACCUAUAAGACUGGGAUAACUUCGGGAAACCGGAGCUAAUACCGGAUAAUAUUUUGAACCGCAUGGUUCAAAGGUGAAAGACGGUCUUGCUGUCACUUAUAGAUGGAUCCGCGCUGCAUUAGCUAGUUGGUAAGGUAACGGCUUACCAAGGCAACGAUGCAUAGCCGACCUGAGAGGGUGAUAGGCCACACGGGAACUGAGACACGGUCAAGACUCCUACGGGAGGCACCAGUAGGGAAUCUGCCGCAAUGGGCGAAAGCCUGACGGAGCAACGCCGCGUGAGUGAUGAAGGUCUUCGGAUCGUAAAACUCUGUUAUGAGGGAAGAACAGAUGUGUAAGUAACUGUGCACAGCUUGACGGUACCUAAUCAGAAAGCCACGGCUAACUACGUG